UCAGAUUAUAAAGUGCUACCAGCACACCACAAGCAGUCGCUCUUUUGGGUGUUUUUCAAGACCGAAUCCUAGCUCUGAGCCCCUUUGAAUUGGUGGCCCAUCAUUAACACAGAGCAGUGAGAUGGAGCAAACUGUCUGAGAGCCAGGACAACUAUCUCAGGGAUCAGGAGAACUUUUGGAACCAGUCUUUGAACUCACGUUUCACAUCCCAAGGGCUUCCCACAGCAGUGAGGUCUGCAGAAGAUCAGUUCUGUUGGAUCCAGUGGUAAAAUCAGUUGGUGCUGGAGUUAGCAGCUCUGCGCCCAGAGCCCUCCUAGGGACCCUAGGAAGUGGUGACCUUCAUCUGCUCUCUGCUGACCUGGAUCCGUGUCUUCUGCUGCCUGUAGGGGCUCUGCAGGGGAGGGGGAGCUGCUGGGACAGAGCAUGGCAGACGUUUCUGCUCAAUACAAUAGGAAUACUGGAGAUAGCAAAUGAGGCCAAACUUCAGGAUGCAAAGACCUUCAUGAAAUGGAGCUUCUGACCACAGCUGAGUUUCAUCAUCUAUUCCCUUGGUCUGCUUUGGUGGCAAAAAGUGGCUGCCUUCCUUAGCAGAUGGUUUGAGAGGUGAUGGCUGCCACCCUGGUGACUGCCCCAGUUCUGCCCCAGCGACACGUCUGUGGGUCGCCCGUCUCAUCCCUGCUCCUGCUGCUUCCAGCCACCUUCUGCUGCCAGUGCCCCGUGUCCACCUGCACCUAAAAGCCUCCUUCCAGGGCCCGGGCUUCUCAGCGUGGAGAACCACUGGGGAUUCGCACUGUGAUGCUCUGGCAGAGGACACAGGAAUUUUGAUCACCUUUCCCAACAGGAAGAAUCAGAACGCUGUGUGCAGGAGAGGACAUUUUCCAUAGUGAAGCCUAUGCCACUGCUGUGGUGGGGAACCAAGUUAUGAUACUCUCCAAAGUGGGGUGGACAUUGAGGCUAAAUCUCUGCUGGUAAACUAGCAACAGGUUCUGUUCUGUACUCCUGAGGUCAACUAUGUGGUCUGUUUGAAUUGCUAACACAGAAUAGCCCUUAAUCCUCUAAAUCAGGGAAACUGCAUCCACACUGCCUGUGGGACAUGGCACCUGUCCAGUGCUAACUCCAAAGCUGUGCAUGGGAAUCGUAUGACCAAAUUUUGGAUGUAUCAAGCCAAAACUGAACCAGGCAUCAUUUCAGCAAUUUUACAGAACAGAGAAUAAAAUUAAUACCGUGAGCCAUUGACCUAACUGUUCAGUUGACUACAGCUAGCAUAACCUGUGGGAUUAGGGGAAAGGAAAACCCUGUAAUAAUUGCUCAGAUAUUCAGGCAACAAGAAAUGAGUGAAAUCUGAAAUAUUCCUAUUCAGAUAUUAUAUAUUUCCAAAUGUAGUUUGCGUAAUCUAUAGUAGCCCUACUCCAAAACACACGGGCACAAGCAUAAAGCCACAUCUGGUUUGUGCUUGGGAAUCCUCUAAGAUCAAGAAUCAGUGGAGACAGGAUAUCCAAAUAUAAUAAAUAAUAUAAUAAAGUCACCAGAAUAAUUUAGAAAGCAUUGAUACGCUUCAAGCUAAACAUCAAAAAUGUAUCCUUUAAAAGACGUCUAUUCAGGACUUUGAUGUAAUCAGUAUAUGAACAUUACUAUGCUUUUUUGAAUUAAAGUUAUGUCCUUGAUGCUGAUCUAUCUACUACUUAUAGAAAAGAAAUCACACUCACUCACACAAUAUAUUCAGUAGUGCUUACACUGCAAAAAGAAUAGCCAGUAGCUGUAAAUUGCAGCUGCUGGGACUGGUUUAUUUAAAGUGUUGCACUUUCUUUUUCUCUCUUUCUAGCAACCUCUUAGGAAUUACUUUAGAACUACUUUAUACAGAGACAUGAUGCACGGCAGUUAACUGCCAAUCUGGAAUAGAAAUGUCUAGCAUCUCAAUUAUUCCUAAAACGUAUUUUAAAUUGUAAGUAUGAUCUAGUACCUAGAAUUUAAGUUUUGUAUGUUUUUAUUAUUAUUAUUAUUAUUAUUAUUAUUAUUAUUAUUAUUAUUAUUAUUAUUAUUAUUAUUAUAGAACUACAUGGAAUGCUUCCAAAUAAUGCACACUCUAAAUAAGUCAUUUCUGAAUAAAUGUUAAACUGUUUGAGAAUAAUCCAGGCCUAGGUGCAGUACACUUCCAAAACAUUCUUGUUUGAAAUACAUAUAUUUUGCCGAACUGUAAAAGGAAUAGAUAUCCUUGGCUAUUGGUCUUACUCAUCCUCAUUUGUAUUGGUGUAAACUUGGAGAACCUUCAGUAAAGUCAAUAGACUGGAACUUGUACAAAACCUUAAUAUAAAACUGGGAUAAGCAACAGCACUGACUUUAUAUUUCAUGAAAAACUUACGCUUCAGUGAUUAUGGUUAAUACAUGCUCUUAUGACAAUGUGACAAUUUGCAAAGAUCAUGAACUGGGUAUUUGAUGUCCAUAUUUAUUUCGAGCUUCAUUUAUGGUGAAGGGCCAUUAAGAUUGGAGUUAAUUAAAAAUAAAUAAAAAAAGAGAAAAAAGGGACUAGGCUUUUACUCAUAAAAUUUGCAGUUAACUCUUACAUUUUUUUGUUGUUGUUGUUUUUUGAAGUGAAUUGGAUUCCAUGAAAAUUUCAUAAAGACUGCUCCUUAUAUCCAAAGUGGAAAUUUGAUUUAAAGGAAAAACAAACAAACAAACAAACAACCCCCCCACACACAUAAAAACAAACAAACAAAAAAACAACACAGGUAGGAUUUAUACUUAAGCCCUUUGCUAUGUGUUUGUUUUAAUUCCAGAUUGGUCAUUUUGGGGAGUAAAAAUUUCUUUCUUUUCUUGUCUUUGUUACACAAAGGCCUCCAUAAAACAUUUGGAAAUGUCUCACUGUUACCUUAUUAGCAAGCGCGGGAUGAGAAUUCAACUACCAAAGUUGUCAGAAAAUUGUAUUCCUAUUUUCCUGCCUUAUUAAGGAUGAUUUCUUACCUAUCCAUUUCAGAAAUACACAAGUAUUUACUCGGAUUAAAAAUUGCAAUGCCCAAGCAGUAAGGUUUUAUUGAUAGCGAAGAAUUUACUCCAGAUUAACUAGUUGCUCAUUGCAAUGCUAUAGCUGAUGGUCUGGAAACUGCAGAGUUUUGAUGUUCCCCUUUACAGGACUGUGAGUUUCAUCAGAGCUCUAAUUUCCUGAUUUCAGUAUUAUAAAAAUAGCAUGAG
This is a non-coding RNA of Anas platyrhynchos (mallard), 3186 nucleotides long. Lineage: Eukaryota; Metazoa; Chordata; Aves; Anseriformes; Anatidae. The record is from RefSeq and is a predicted model, not a curated record.